CUGCUCGGUGGCCUCCUCUGCGUCUGGCUGUCUCCCCCCACUUGCGUCUCUCUCCCCCCUUUGUUCUCGCCUCCGAGCGCUCCCCGCAGCCUCCCCUCCCCCCCUGGUAUUUAAAUCGCCUGCAGGCCCGGAGCCCUCCCCCCGCGGGCCUCCGGGGACACGCAGUGUCCAUCCCAGUGGAGGGGCCCAUCGGGGGAGGGGCGGAGGGGGAGGGUCUCCUUUGUCUGCGCGGCGGCGGCCGCCUGCGCCGGGGAGGGAGGAGGAGGGGGAGCCCGGCCCGGCGCAACCCCCAGGGCCUCUCCUCGGGCCGAAGCCCGUGGUUGCUACAAAGAGGAGCCAGGACUAGAAUUAGGGAAUUGGAGCCGGCUCAGUUCGGGGAAGCUGCAGGAGUUCGGCGUGGGUGAUGGCAGCAAGCUGACCUUGGUACCCACCGUGGAAGCGGGCCUCAUGGUAAAUGGCCAUGGGUCUGCGUGCCCCCAGAGGCCCCCGCACACAGGCAGUAGCUCCUCCCUCGGCACCUGUC
Molecule: long non-coding RNA, 523 nt
Filed under: Pan paniscus (pygmy chimpanzee)
Lineage: Eukaryota; Metazoa; Chordata; Mammalia; Primates; Hominidae
Description: lncRNA (ENSPPAG00000044641.1)
Source: RNAcentral